ACGGGAGGCAGCAGUGAGGAAUAUUGGUCAAUGGGCGCGAGCCUGAACCAGCCAAGUAGCGUGAGGGAUGGCUGCCCUAUGGGUUGUAAACCUCUUUUGUUCGGGAAUAAAGUGCGGGACGUGUCCCGCUUUGCAUGUACCGUUCGAAUAAGCAUCGGCUAAUUCCGUGCCAGCAGCCGCGGUAAUACGGAAGAUGCGAGCGUUAUCCGGAUUUAUUGGGUUUAAAGGGAGCGUAGGCGGCCUUUUAAGUCAGCGGUAAAAUGUCAGCGCCCAGCGCUGGCCUGCCGUUGAUACUGUUAGGCUUGAAUACACACAAGGAAGGUAGAAUUCGUCGUGUAGCGGUGAAAUGCUUAGAUAUGACGAAGAACUCCGAUUGCGAAGGCAGCCUUCUGGAGUGCGAUUGACGCUGAGGCUCGAAAGCGCGGGUAUCAAACAGGAUUAGAUACCCUGGUA
This 453-nucleotide ribosomal RNA is filed under the name uncultured Prevotellaceae bacterium. RNAcentral's name for it is "bacterial SSU rRNA". It matches the Rfam family "Bacterial small subunit ribosomal RNA", at positions 341 to 792 of the family's 1533-position model. The record is from RNAcentral. Lineage: Bacteria; Pseudomonadati; Bacteroidota; Bacteroidia; Bacteroidales; Prevotellaceae.